GAUGAAGAACGUAGCGAAAUGCGAUACUUGGUGUGAAUUGCAGAAUCCCGUGAACCAUCGAGUCUUUGAACGCAAGUUGCGCCCGAAGCCGUCAGGCCGAGGGCACGCCUGCCUGGGCGUCACACGCCGUUGCCCCCCCGCGCCCCGCACCCAACGCUUUGGGAGCGACCGCGGGGCGGGCUGAUGAUGGCCUCCCGUGCGCUCCGCCGCGCGGUUGGCCCAAAUACCGAGUCCCCGGCGACGUGCGCCACGACGAUCGGUGGUUGAGAGACCUCUGUCGCAAGUCGUGCGCGCCCGUCGCGUCACGCGGGCUCGCAUAGCGCCUCGCGCCGCACCCGGUGCGGAGCUUUCAACGCGACCCCAGGUCAGGCGGGGUUACCCGCUGAAUUUAAGCAUAUCAAUAAGCGGAAGGA
Molecule: unclassified non-coding RNA, 413 nt
Filed under: soil metagenome
Description: partial contains 5.8S ribosomal RNA, internal transcribed spacer 2, and large subunit ribosomal RNA
Rfam family: 5.8S ribosomal RNA (bases 1-122)
Source: RNAcentral